ACCUCUCCUGUCCAGUAGGGGCCAGUGUGUUGAUUGAGAUUGAGCUGCUGUUCUCAGUGUUUGUUCCCAGCACGAGGCCACGGCCUGUUCUCACAGCCCCGUCUCUCUCUCUCUCUCUCAUUGCUAGGCAGGUUCUGGUUCGCCUAAUCCCCGCUGGAUCCGCUGUACCCCGAGAAUGAAAAGACACGGAUUAGAUAAAACCCUGUGUGUGUACUAACUCCGGAAGCUACAUAACACCGACAAAUGGGAUUUCAAGGUGAUUUCUGGACUUUUUGGAGUGUGACGGUGCUGUCGGUACCGGGGUGACAAACUUCUGAUCCCUGUGGGUCUGAUCCUGGACCGAUGAUGAUCGUCGACCGACUGGAAAUUGGACACAUCAAUCCCGCUCAAACGCAUGAGUGUUCCUGUCAUUGACUCUGGUCCAUCUGAUAUACAGCUUCCUGAGGAGCCAAGUGAAAAAAAAUCACAUUCAAAAUGGAUUUAUAGUUUAUUUGGGGAACCUCAGCUGACUCAGCCGUUUAACCAGCUGCUGUAUCAAACCACACAGGACCAUGAUGACGUUGGUGGUCGCCAGAGGACUUUGAGACAUCUGACAAACACGGAGGUGCACGUUGUCUUGGACGUGCAUCUUUAUUUGGGAAAAAGAAGAAGAAGAAGAAGAAGAAAAAACAGCAGUGUUGCAGAUGUUGGCAUGUCAUUGAGGUUGGCUUGGCACAGACCUGGAAACCCUGAACAUGUAUUUAAUAGUGCAGUUUAGGUCACACUGAACAAGCAGUUCCUUUAGCUUUGUACUGAUGCCAGCUAAAUCCAGACAGAUGCUGCAGCUGAAGUCCUCAACACGCAACGCACAACACAGCUCAUUACUGACUCACCAUUUAAUUCAAACCUACAGCUCUUUAAUUGCUUUAAUUAUUAUGCGCUAGAGUCUAAUUAUUAUUUAAUUUGUAGUGUUCAUCCUUUGUCUUUUUCAUUACAUUUAAAUUUCAAAAGAAGAAAGUGAAUUUAGCAGAGAAGGACUCGUUCCUGCUGUUCAGUUGAGUUCUGGUACUGUUCUGCUUCAUGCUGGCUUCUAAAUGGACACUUGCUGAUUUUGUUCAGCAUGCAGUUGUCAGUGCUGUCAACAAGAAUUGUGCAAGAAAUGUAUUUUCUGGAAGUCAAACUGUAAAAUCACAUUCAUAUUUUACUUCUAUUUUGCACCUUUUGUCCUAAUUUAUGUAAAACUAAUUUAUGCAAAUGAUAUUAUUUUUAA
This is a long non-coding RNA of Onychostoma macrolepis, 1249 nucleotides long. RefSeq lists it as uncharacterized. The transcript has 5 exons. Lineage: Eukaryota; Metazoa; Chordata; Actinopteri; Cypriniformes; Cyprinidae. The record is from RefSeq and is a predicted model, not a curated record.